GAACAGAGUCUUUCAAAUUGCGUUUUUGUAAUUUACAUUUACUAAUUAGCAAGAAACAGAUCAGUUAUGUCUGGACAUGGUAAAGGCAAUUCAUUAGACAAAGGUGGAUCAGGUGAAAAAACAGACAAAAGUGGCAAAUCUGGAAAACCAGAAAGUAGUGCACCUUCUGGAAAUGACGAUUUUGGUCCUGAACCAGUGGUUGUAAAUAUAAUGACUAAUGUGGGGAAGUAAAACAAGGAUGAAGCCAAAUUUUCGAAAUGCUAGGCAACAGAUUUGGUAGAAAUUUUUCAAACAUUUAUUUAGUAACUUAAUUUUCCACUUCUUUUUCACAUGUUUAAAAGUUCUUGUAUUGAUAUAAAAAUUCAAUAAAAUCAUUUUCACUUUC
Long non-coding RNA from Mytilus californianus (California mussel), 385 nucleotides. RefSeq lists it as uncharacterized. The transcript has 4 exons. The record is from RefSeq and is a predicted model, not a curated record. Lineage: Eukaryota; Metazoa; Mollusca; Bivalvia; Mytilida; Mytilidae.